UAGAGUAUGGCUCAGUGGUAGAGCACUUGCCUGGCAUGCAUGAGGCCCUGGGUUUGAUCCCCAGUAUUGCAA
RNAcentral lists this transfer RNA (72 nucleotides) under Heterocephalus glaber (naked mole-rat). It matches the Rfam family "tRNA". From Rfam's summary of the family: Transfer RNA (tRNA) molecules are approximately 80 nucleotides in length. Their secondary structure includes four short double-helical elements and three loops (D, anti-codon, and T loops). Lineage: Eukaryota; Metazoa; Chordata; Mammalia; Rodentia; Bathyergidae. The record is from Rfam by way of RNAcentral.